UCCCUGGUGGCCUAAUGGCUAAGAUUUGGCGCUUUCGCCGCCAGAACCUGGGUUCAACUCCCAGUCAGGGAG
This 72-nucleotide transfer RNA is filed under the name Loxodonta africana (African savanna elephant). It matches the Rfam family "tRNA". From Rfam's summary of the family: Transfer RNA (tRNA) molecules are approximately 80 nucleotides in length. Lineage: Eukaryota; Metazoa; Chordata; Mammalia; Proboscidea; Elephantidae. The record is from Rfam by way of RNAcentral.